Molecule: unclassified non-coding RNA, 461 nt
Filed under: Hevea brasiliensis (rubber tree)
Lineage: Eukaryota; Viridiplantae; Streptophyta; Magnoliopsida; Malpighiales; Euphorbiaceae
Source: RNAcentral
UUCAGCACUCUUGCAGCCCUUUCUUUUUGGCCUAACCACCAAAGUGCUUCUAUAAGAGUGUUGUAGAACCUCAUGCUCAAACCACAUCCUUCUGACUUGAGUUUAUCAAAGACAUAUUCAACCAUCUGCCAAUUAUUUUCAUCAUCAAAAUCUCCGUGAAUCAUUCGGCCAAUAAUUUGGUGCAUAUCAGAAGUCUUGUUUGUCAUCACGUCAUUCAAUAACUCACGGGCCAUAUCCCACCUCUCACUUUUUGCGUAAAUUGCCAGCAUCAUACAGCAGCAAAUGAUGCUAGGCUGAAUGCCCAGUGAUUUAAUUUCCUGAAACUGCUCUUCACUUUCGUCAACUAGGCCUGCAAAGCAAUAAACACUCAAAACUGCCUCAAGCGUCCGCUCAUCUGGAUCACAUCUUGCCUUUUCCAUCUCAACAUAAGCUUUUAUAGCUUCUUCGAACUGACCUCCCUG